GAUGAAGAACGCAGCGAAAUGCGAUACGUAAUGUGAAUUGCAGAAUUCAGUGAAUCAUCGAAUCUUUGAACGCAUAUUGCGCUCUCUGGUAUUCCGGAGAGCAUGCUUGUUUGAGUAUCAGUAAACACCUCAACUCCCUUUUCUUUUUUGAAAUUGGAGCUGGACUUGAGUGAUCCCAACGCUUUCUUCCAAGAAAGUGGCGGGUUGCUUGAAAUGCAGAUGCAGCUGAACUUUUCUCUGAGCUAUAAGCAUAUCUAUUUAGUCUGCCUAAAAAACAGAUUAUUACCUUUGCUGCAGCUAACAUAAAGGAGACUAGUUCUUGUGCUGACUGAUGCAGGAUUCACAGAGACAGCUUCGGCUGACUUUGUAAACUCGAUCUCAAAUCAAGUAAGACUACCCGCUGAACUUAAGCAUAUCAAUAAGCGGAGGA
Molecule: unclassified non-coding RNA, 430 nt
Filed under: soil metagenome
Description: partial contains 5.8S ribosomal RNA, internal transcribed spacer 2, and large subunit ribosomal RNA
Rfam family: 5.8S ribosomal RNA (bases 1-120)
Source: RNAcentral